GGGGUUAUAGCUCAGUGGUAGAGCACAUGCUUAGCAUGCAUAAGGUCCUGGGUUCAAUCUCCAGUACCUCCA
RNAcentral lists this transfer RNA (72 nucleotides) under Camelus bactrianus (Bactrian camel). It matches the Rfam family "tRNA". Rfam says of the family: Transfer RNA (tRNA) molecules are approximately 80 nucleotides in length. RNAcentral also lists the same sequence under 2 other names. Lineage: Eukaryota; Metazoa; Chordata; Mammalia; Artiodactyla; Camelidae. The record is from Rfam by way of RNAcentral.